This 643-nucleotide ribosomal RNA is filed under the name uncultured bacterium. RNAcentral's name for it is "bacterial SSU rRNA". It matches the Rfam family "Bacterial small subunit ribosomal RNA", at positions 49 to 688 of the family's 1533-position model. The record is from RNAcentral.
UUACACAUGCAAGUCGAGCGGCAGCGCGGGGGCAACCCUGGCGGCGAGCGGCGAACGGGUGAGUAAUACAUCGGAACGUGUCCAGUAGUGGGGGAUAACCAGUCGAAAGACUGGCUAAUACCGCAUACGAUCUACGGAUGAAAGCGGGGGAUCGCAAGACCUCGCGCUAUUGGAGCGGCCGAUGUCCGAUUAGCUAGUGGCGGGGUAACGGCCCACCAAGGCAACGAUCGGUAGCUGGUCUGAGAGGAUGAUCAGCCACACUGGAACUGAGACACGGUCCAGACUCCUACGGGAGGCAGCAGUGGGGAAUUUUGGACAAUGGGCGCAAGCCUGAUCCAGCCAUGCCGCGUGAGUGAAGAAGGCCUUCGGGUUGUAAAGCUCUUUCGGCGGGGACGAAACGGUCCGUGAUAACACCGCGGACUAAUGACGGUACUCGCAGAAGAAGCACCGGCUAACUACGUGCCAGCAGCCGCGGUAAUACGUAGGGUGCAGGCGUUAAUCGGAAUUACUGGGCGUAAAGCGUGCGCAGGCGGCUCCUUAAGUCAGAUGUGAAAGCCCCGGGCUUAACCUGGGAACUGCGUUUGAAACUGGGGAGCUAGAGUGUGGAAGAGGGGGGUGGAAUUCCAGGUGUAGCAGUGAAAUG